GAAGCCGGCCAGACCGCCGCUGGUGCGCUCGGGGAAACCCGGCACUGGAGGAAGGUCCGGACUGCGCAGGGCGGCGUAGCAGCUAACGGCUGUCCACCGCAAGGUGAGGAUCAGAGCAACAGAGACGAGUCUCUGCGGGGUCCCGAUGGAGAGUGUUCUGCGAGGCGCCGGCGCGAGCCGGCGUGCCGUGAGGCGCAAGCCGAACGGCAUCGGGCGCAAGCCCGAACCGAGCAGCCACUCUCUGCGGGGCGAAGCCCCGCAGAGAGUGAAACGGGCAAUCUCUACGCGCAGCAACACCCAAUAGGCCGGCGAUGAUGCGGCCCGCGGAGCCGGCGGGUAGGUGGCACCGAGCCGGGGGGCGACUCCCGGCCCAGAGGAAUGGCGGUCACGGCAAUCGCGCCGCAAGGCGCAGGCGCCGCACAGAAUCCGGCCUAUCGGUCGACUUCACAC
RNAcentral lists this RNase P RNA (450 nucleotides) under Ideonella sp. WA131b. Its description in RNAcentral is "RNase P RNA component class A". It matches the Rfam family "Bacterial RNase P class A". Rfam says of the family: Ribonuclease P (RNase P) is a ubiquitous endoribonuclease, found in archaea, bacteria and eukarya as well as chloroplasts and mitochondria. The record is from RNAcentral. Lineage: Bacteria; Pseudomonadati; Pseudomonadota; Betaproteobacteria; Burkholderiales; Sphaerotilaceae.